AGUCGAGCGGAUGAGUGGAGCUUGCUCCACGAUUCAGCGGCGGACGGGUGAGUAAUGCCUAGGAAUCUGCCUGGUAGUGGGGGACAACGUUUCGAAAGGAACGCUAAUACCGCAUACGUCCUACGGGAGAAAGCAGGGGACCUUCGGGCCUUGCGCUAUCAGAUGAGCCUAGGUCGGAUUAGCUAGUUGGUGAGGUAAUGGCUCACCAAGGCGACGAUCCGUAACUGGUCUGAGAGGAUGAUCAGUCACACUGGAACUGAGACACGGUCCAGACUCCUACGGGAGGCAGCAGUGGGGAAUAUUGGACAAUGGGCGAAAGCCUGAUCCAGCCAUGCCGCGUGUGUGAAGAAGGUCUUCGGAUUGUAAAGCACUUUAAGUUGGGAGGAAGGGUUGUAGGUUAAUACCCUGCAAUUUUGACGUUACCGACAGAAUAAGCACCGGCUAACUUCGUGCCAGCAGCCGCGGUAAUACGAAGGGUGCAAGCGUUAAUCGGAAUUACUGGGCGUAAAGCGCGCGUAGGUGGUUUGUUAAGUUGGAUGUGAAAGCCCCGGGCUCAACCUGGGAACUGCAUCCAAAACUGGCAAGCUAGAGUAUGGCAGAGGGUGGUGGAAUUUCCUGUGUAGCGGUGAA
This 630-nucleotide ribosomal RNA is filed under the name Pseudomonas sp. 30(2013). RNAcentral's name for it is "bacterial SSU rRNA". It matches the Rfam family "Bacterial small subunit ribosomal RNA", at positions 60 to 685 of the family's 1533-position model. The record is from RNAcentral. Lineage: Bacteria; Pseudomonadati; Pseudomonadota; Gammaproteobacteria; Pseudomonadales; Pseudomonadaceae.